GGUGGGGCUAAUGACUGGGGUGAAGUCGUAACAAGGUAGCCGUACCGGAAGGUGCGGCUGGAUCACCUCCUAACAGGGAGACAACAAAAUGUUAAAUAUUAAUUUUGUCACCUUAGGUCGAUCGGUAUCUCACAUCCUUAAUUAAUUUAAGGAUUUUAUUUCCUAAGUUUUUUCUAGGUCACACCCAUUACUUUUUCCUGGGCCAUUAGCUCAGGUGGUUAGAGCGCACCCCUGAUAAGGGUGAGGUCCCUGGUUCAAGUCCAGGAUGGCCCAUAUCUCUAUGUUGGGGGUAUAGCUCAGUUGGUAGAGCGCCUGCUUUGCAAGCAGGAUGUCAGCGGUUCGAGUCCGCUUACCUCCACUGAUCACCACCUCUUCCAUAAUUUUAUAGAAGGGAAAUGUUUUGAGUUGUGAUCAAAUUCUGAACGAAUCUAGCUUCCUAAUAAAACUUAUUAAGAUGCUGGACUCAUUGAAUUAAUUUCAUUGUUUUCAGAGAACCUUGACAACUGCAUAGAUUAUUUUUAAAGACAAUAAGCAUCUUUAAUGAUGCAGAUUUAUUAUUUGUGCGAAUGCAUUAAUAACAAUUCUAUUAAGCUGAUGCUUCAAUUUUUGAAGUUAUUGGUCAAGCUACAAAGGGCUCACGGAGG
Molecule: unclassified non-coding RNA, 644 nt
Filed under: uncultured Prochlorococcus sp.
Lineage: Bacteria; Bacillati; Cyanobacteriota; Cyanophyceae; Synechococcales; Prochlorococcaceae
Description: partial may contain 16S ribosomal RNA, 16S-23S ribosomal RNA intergenic spacer, and 23S ribosomal RNA
Rfam family: tRNA (bases 286-358)
Source: RNAcentral